CAGUCUCGCAGCGAGUGCAGUGAGUCGAACGUUUUGGCGCGACCGGAACGCAUUAUACCGGCGAAUGCAGAUUUUUUCGUCGGAAGAAAAGCGGGGCACUGAAUUUAAAUGCAGCACCGUAGCGCACACAGAUCUAUAUUCGUGAAUUUAUAUACGAAGUACCCAGAGAUUUACGUUAGAGAGAGAGAGAUAACGUUCUCCACGCGCGCGUCCUCGCUCCAUACUUCUGAAAUAUUCAUAACUCAAGAUCAUCCUUAACCCACUAAUUGAUAUUCCGCGCAUCUGGAACUCGCUGCACCAACAGGAAUAAUACGCACCGCUACCGAUGAUAUCCCUUUCAAAGAUGCGCAUCUUGCAUGCGGCUGCAUAUUAAUCCGAAGCAAAUCCAAAACGGACAUUUUAAACAAAUAUACCCUGUCCGUUCGUCCAAAAGUUCAGACAGUGAUUCUAUCCCUCUUUGGCGCUUACGAUGAAUAUUGAUGCGAUGCAAAUCUGACAUUCAAUAUUCGAGCAAUGACCUUGCCAUUCGAGAGAACGUGAGUGAAAUCCUUCUCCAUGUUGUCACGAAAGUGAGAGACCGUGCAAAUAAAAGAAAAAAAAAGCAAGUGAGAGAGAGAGAGAGAGUGAGUGAAGGGGGAGGGGGGAGGGAGAGACCAAGAGGGAACACAAGAAUACGAGGGAGGUACUCGAGUAUGAGCAGAUAACGAAAAAUGUUCCCGCCAUCUGCUCGCGGGACUUUUGGGAGUGAGAGGGACUUGAAAAUCACUUUCACGCCGAUUCCGUGGACGGGCGGUCGCACAUUCAGCCUGAAAAUUUCAUUUUCAUAACUUACACGACGGCAGUUUGUCUCCUGAUGUGUCGCACGGGUAUAUCCCUUUCUCACAAUGACAGAGAACGUCGCUGAGUGGAAACGAAUUUUUAUCGUGCUAUCUGGCGACUCGACAUUUUCUUGGAUUAGAGACGAAUGAACGAAAAGAUCUUGUUUUAACAUAUAAUUUCUCGCAAAAUUUGUAUUCUACGUGAGUGUUGUAUAUAUAAUUUAGGAAUAUGCUAUACACAGCUAGCAAUAUUAUUUCCAUCUGCAAUUAUCUUCGACACCGUUAAUUUACGCGUGGCUUCGAAGAGAAACGAAGAGAUCAAUGUGAGGAUCAUUUAUCCAUUAUCGUAAAUCGAAUUGAAUCAUUACAAUUAGGUCUCUUCCGCGUUACUAACGACGGAGCGAGAACUGAAGUUGACUGCUUUAUAUUCGAAGUCUAACAAUCCCUCCGAUCGUAAUUACUAAAAUCUAUGAAGUUCCUUCUCGAUAAUGGUUCAACUUCUCUGCAUAAAUCAUCGAAUAGAGAUUCCGUCCAAAAUCGAUUGCAGGCGAAAUCAUUUCAUGGAAAGAAAUGCAUAUAGUUAUAUAUAAUAUAAAUAUUUUAUGAAAAAAGAAAAACAAAAAUAAAAAUUAUA
Long non-coding RNA from Formica exsecta, 1452 nucleotides. RefSeq lists it as uncharacterized. The record is from RefSeq and is a predicted model, not a curated record. NCBI's taxonomy places the organism in Eukaryota, Metazoa, Arthropoda, Insecta, Hymenoptera, Formicidae. The transcript has 3 exons.